AUAUUAAAGUUGUUGCGGUUAAAAAGCUCGUAGUUGGUUCUGCGUGCCACGCUGUCGGUUCACCGCCUGCCGGUGCAACUGGCAUGCCGUGGCAUGUCCUGUCGGUGGCGGAUAGGCUUCGCGGCGCGCCCUAUGCGGUUACAACCGUGUAGGCUGCUGCGCCGCGUCGUCCUUGUACGCCGGCUCAAUCCUACCGCGGUGCUCUUUACCGAGUGUCGAGGUAGGCCGACACUGUUUACUUUGAACAAAUUAGAGUGCUUAAAGCAGGCUCUUAAAUCAGCCUGAAUAGUGGUGCAUGGAAUAAUGGAACAGGACCUUGGUUCUAUUUUGUUGGUUUUCGGAAUCCAAGGUAAUGAUCAAUAAGGACAGGCGGGGGCAUUCGUAUUGCGACGUUAGAGGUGAAAUUCUUGGAUCGUCGCAAGACGCACUAGAGCGAAAGCAUUUGCCAAGUAUGUCUUAAUUGAUCAAGAACGAAAGUUAGAGGUUCGAAGGCGAUCAGAUACCGCCCUAGUUCUAACCAUAAACGAUGCCAGCCAGCGAUCCGCCGACGUUCCUCCGAUGACUCGGCGGGGAGCUUUCCCCGGGAAACCAAAGCUUUUGGGUUCCGGGGGAAGUAUGGUUGCAAAGCUGAAACUUAAAGGAAUUGACGGAAGGGCACCACCAGGAGUGGAGCCUGCG
Molecule: ribosomal RNA, 678 nt
Filed under: Anoplocnemis curvipes
Lineage: Eukaryota; Metazoa; Arthropoda; Insecta; Hemiptera; Coreidae
Description: SSU rRNA
Rfam family: Eukaryotic small subunit ribosomal RNA
Source: RNAcentral